CGAACGGGUGAGUAACGCGUGAGGAACCUGCCUCAAAGAGGGGACAACAGUUGGAAACGACUGCUAAUACCGCAUAAGCCCACGGCUCGGCAUCGAGCAGAGGGAAAAGGAGCAAUCCGCUUUGAGAUGGCCUCGCGUCCGAUUAGCUAGUUGGUGAGGUAACGGCCCACCAAGGCGACGAUCGGUAGCCGGACUGGGAGGUUGAACGGCCACAUUGGGACUGAGACACGGCCCAG
RNAcentral lists this ribosomal RNA (236 nucleotides) under uncultured bacterium. RNAcentral's name for it is "partial 16S ribosomal RNA". It matches the Rfam family "Bacterial small subunit ribosomal RNA", at positions 99 to 334 of the family's 1533-position model. The record is from RNAcentral.